Molecule: ribosomal RNA, 253 nt
Filed under: uncultured bacterium
Lineage: Bacteria
Description: partial 16S ribosomal RNA
Rfam family: Bacterial small subunit ribosomal RNA
Source: RNAcentral
UACGAAGGGGGCUAGCGUUGUUCGGAAUUACUGGGCGUAAAGCGCGCGCAGGCGGUCCUACAAGUCAGAGGUGAAAGCCCAGGGCUCAACCCUGGAACUGCCUUUGAAACUGUAGGACUUGGGUAUGGGAGAGGUGAGCGGAAUUCCGAGUGUAGAGGUGAAAUCCGUAGAUAUUCGGAAGAACACCAGUGGCGAAGGCGGCUCACUGGCCCAUUACCGACGCUCAGGCGCGACAGCGUGGGGAGCAAACAGG